GUGUCAGCAGCCGCGGUAAUACGGAGGAUGCAAGCGUUGUUCGGAAUCACUGGGCUUAAAGAGCGUGUAGGUGGGGUGUCAGGCAUCGGGUGAAAUCCCUCGGCUCAACCGAGGAACUGCCUGGUGAACCGGCAUUCUUGAGGCAGGUAGAGGUGGCUGGAACGACAGGUGGAGCGGUGAAAUGCGUAGAUAUCUGUUGGAACGCCGGCGGCGAAAGCGAGCCACUGGGCCUGUCCUGACACUGAGACGCGAAAGCGUGGGGAGCAAACAGGAUUAGAAACCCCUGUAGUCC
This 292-nucleotide ribosomal RNA is filed under the name uncultured bacterium. RNAcentral describes it as "partial 16S ribosomal RNA". It matches the Rfam family "Bacterial small subunit ribosomal RNA", at positions 505 to 796 of the family's 1533-position model. The record is from RNAcentral.